CAGUCGACGCUUUGUGGUUCACUGAUUUGAAGAGCUUGCUCAGAUAUGACGAUGGACAUUGCAAAGAGUGGCGAACGGGUGAGUAACACGUGGGAAACCUACCUCUUAGCAGGGGAUAACAUUUGGAAACAGAUGCUAAUACCGUAUAACAAUGACAACCGCAUGGUUGUUAUUUAAAAGAUGGUUCUGCUAUCACUAAGAGAUGGUCCCGCGGUGCAUUAGCUAGUUGGUAAGGUAAUGGCUUACCAAGGCGAUGAUGCAUAGCCGAGUUGAGAGACUGAUCGGCCACAAUGGGACUGAGACACGGCCCAUACUCCUACGGGAGGCAGCAGUAGGGAAUCUUCCACAAUGGGCGAAAGCCUGAUGGAGCAACGCCGCGUGUGUGAUGAAGGGUUUCGGCUCGUAAAACACUGUUGUAAGAGAAGAAUGACAUUGAGAGUAACUGUUCAAUGUGUGACGGUAUCUUACCAGAAAGGAACGGCUAAAUACGUGCCAGCAGCCGCGGUAAUACGUAUGUUCCAAGCGUUAUCCGGAUUUAUUGGGCGUAAAGCGAGCGCAGACGGUUAUUUAAGUCUGAAGUGAAAGCCCUCAGCUCAACUGAGGAAUUGCUUUGGAAACUGGAUGACUUGAGUGCAGUAGAGGAAAGUGGAACUCCAUGUGUAGCGGUGAAAUGCGUAGAUAUAUGGAAGAACACCAGUGGCGAAGGCGGCUUUCUGGACUGUAACUGACGUUGAGGCUCGAAAGUGUGGGUAGCAAACAGGAUUAGAUACCCUGGUAGUCCACACCGUAAACGAUGAGUGCUAGGUGUUUGAGGGUUUCCGCCCUUAAGUGCCGCAGCUAACGCAUUAAGCACUCCGCCUGGGGAGUACGACCGCAAGGUUGAAACUCAAAGGAAUUGACGGGGACCCGCACAAGCGGUGGAGCAUGUGGUUUAAUUCGAAGCAACGCGAAGAACCUUACCAGGUCUUGACAUCCCUUGACAACUCCAGAGAUGGAGCGUUCCCUUCGGGGACAAGGUGACAGGUGGUGCAUGGUUGUCGUCAGCUCGUGUCGUGAGAUGUUGGGUUAAGUCCCGCAACGAGCGCAACCCUUAUUACUAGUUGCCAGCAUUCAGUUGGGCACUCUAGUGAGACUGCCGGUGACAAACCGGAGGAAGGUGGGGAUGACGUCAAAUCAUCAUGCCCCUUAUGACCUGGGCUACACACGUGCUACAAUGGCGUAUACAACGAGUUGCCAACCCGCGAGGGUGAGCUAAUCUCUUAAAGUACGUCUCAGUUCGGAUUGUAGGCUGCAACUCGCCUACAUGAAGUCGGAAUCGCUAGUAAUCGCGGAUCAGCACGCCGCGGUGAAUACGUUCCCGGGUCUUGUACACACCGCCCGUCACACCAUGAGAGUUUGUAACACCCAAAGCCGGU
RNAcentral lists this ribosomal RNA (1415 nucleotides) under Limosilactobacillus fermentum. Its description in RNAcentral is "bacterial SSU rRNA". It matches the Rfam family "Bacterial small subunit ribosomal RNA", at positions 59 to 1431 of the family's 1533-position model. The record is from RNAcentral. Lineage: Bacteria; Bacillati; Bacillota; Bacilli; Lactobacillales; Lactobacillaceae.